CCCAGGCAGCAGCGCGUGUGUCGGUGCCCAGCUCUGCUCGCCCCAGGAACGCGCUUUGCCAAGCUGGUGGAGGGUUGAGGACCGGCAGGAGCCUGACGUGAGGAUGAGAUGUGCUGGUGACUGCAAGCGCCGUGGGCUCAGCACAGCUUCCUCCCUGUAUCCGGGUACGAGGGGUAAAGCAAGAUACAGGCUGCCCCUGCUCUCCGAGACUGCGCAUCGCUCCGCCUCGGGCACAGCACCCGCCGGGAAGCGCCCAGAAGAUGCUGAGCCGUCGGCUUCCUUCUGCGGCGGCGCUGCGGGAACCCAGCCACUCGCGGCUCCGGGAGAGUUGGAUGGGGAGCACCGAGUCAGUGUGUCCCAAUGGCGGAACGUGCCCUAUUUGUCAUCGUGUUGCAGGUUGCAAGUGGCUUAAAGAAGGCAGUGGCGGCUGCAGAGGUCCCUUCUUCCCUACCCGGAGAACAUUCCUCCCGAAGGGUGCCGUGUCUCAGGCUCCACAGUUCUGCAACACGUGGGUAAAACGUGAGCAAAGGUUUCACCGAGAGCCGCGGGCUCCGAGGCGGAGACCAGCAGAACACCCCUGGACCGGGGUCCAAUCUGGCUCUAGGCUGCCACGGACGCUCUCCUGCAUGGGUUCCUCGGGUCUCGGACAAAGAAACCCAUCGAGGGGGUCAUCGGGGCGGGGGGGGUUCUCUGUCCCUGUUGUCGCCAGUGGGUGAUCAGUGUCAGUAAAAUCCCCCUGGUCUCUCGCACACCUGGCUGGGGGGGCACCCAGCAGCACCCGUGCCUGGCUGUCGGGGUGAGUUAUACGCGUAAACACCUUUUUCCAGACUUUCCCCCCCCCAGGUGCACUCAAUAGAGGGUGGGAAGCGCUGUGUGGUGAGGCAGCCCGCUCCCUGCUCCCUCCGGUAAACCCGGGCUGGAGAAGUGGACCGUUUGUGGAUUAUCUGUUUCUAUGGUGAUAGAUCGGAAUAAACGUGGUGUGGUCCUGGCUGCCUUCAGCUGCCUGUUUUCUGCAAGGUCUCCGUUAUCAACAGCGAAAAUGCAGCGUCUAAUUCCCCGGAGACCGUCAGCUGAGACUCGUGGGCAAGAUCAUGGGCUUUAGCCCGUGAAAAAUCUCUGUGGCAAAGCUGCACGCGAAAGUCACAGGCUGCGGCAGCGCAGUUAAUCACCAGCACCGCCCUGGUGCCAGGGACACAGAAAUUGCUAUAAGGGAGGAAAAAAAAAAAAAAAAAAGAAAAAAGAUGUUUUUCAAUUUUCGUCUUGUAGAGACAGAAAUAUCGUGUUGUCAUGGGCAGAUCAGAAACUGGAAAAUCCACAGAUGCCCUACGUAGUAAUAAAAAAAAGGAGGCCGACGCAGACGUGAGUUUUUAAAGUUAUAACAUUAUUUUGGGGAGGAGUUAUAAAAAGAGGCAUGUAUUUUUUUCCAAAAUAUUCACCUUUUGUCCUUAGAUGUGAAAUCUGCCAUUUCCAAAUUCGGCUCCCACAUCCGUGCGCAAAGGGGAGCCGAGCAGCCGCCAGCAGAGCCUGCUGCACGGCGUGUGGCGGCAGCAGGUUUGUCAAUGGGAAUAAAUCCUCUCAAAUCCUCACACGCCCCUAAACACCACGGGGAACUGCAGUUGUUCUUAGCGGUACCUAAAAUCCUGGAACGCGAGUUUUGCCAGAGUAACAACCAAAUGAUUACCCUGCUGUCCUCUUACGAUUCACAUCAGACCUGGCAGCCACAGCGGAUAUCAUCCUGCCUCUGCUAAAUCUUUAAUAUUUCAAAUGCAUAUUCAGAUACCGCUUUCCUGCUAGGAGACGCCUCACAGCGUAGCACCCGGGAGGAUUGCCCUUUGGAGUGAGGUAGAAUUGAAAUAUUUAAAUGUGCUACACUUCCAAAGGCUGGCUUACUGCUCGCCUCCCUUGGAGGAACAAGAAAUAAAUAAUAGAAAAGUGAACUGCGCGAUUCCUCAGUCCCCGAAGUACUAAAGUCAUGGAGUGACUGGAAAAUUAUGCUUGUACAGAGGAGAAUUCACUAUUUUGGUGAGAAGUGUCCGUGCUUACAUGGAGUCAGGAACUAAGACGAACCCUAUCAAUUAAAGCCAAAAGCCAAAACAAAACAGCAAACUCCGCUUCGAAUUGGGGAUUUCUCAGCAAAGUGACACUUGCCGAAGAUCCCGCACGGAGCAGAGCUGAGGUGCAGGUUUCUUGGGAUGUGUAACAUCCAGCCAGUCUUUAAAGACUCCAGCCCCGUGAGCAGCUCGUGGAAGGGCCCCGGCUGUCGACGCGCGGCUGGAGUGGACGGGAAAACCCCGUGGGGAAGCGGAGCAGAGGGAAAAUAUCCCGGCGGCAGCGGACAGACACUUGACCCAAGAAGACUUUGACUUUCCAUGGGGGAAUAGCGUGCAAGUUAUUUUGGAGUUUAGCUCUAUAAUUAGUGACAUAAAGCAGAACUGGCUAAGUUGAAGUCUUUGCUCUCUGGCUGUGUCAGGGAGCUGGUUCCGAGGCUGUCUUUGCGGCCAAGAAUCUUCCCGACUCCUAACCACGAGGGAUAAAGCUGCCCCAAGAGCUCUGCUUUUCCCCCGAAGCAGCGAGAGGACCAGCAGCAGCCCGGGUUCCCGCAGCUCCCCGGUCCCCCAGCAUCCCGGGGGACUUCCAGCAGGACCAAGCCUGGUCCCAGCAGACCACAAAGAGCAGGAAGAGGCGAGGACCCCCCCCAUGGCACCCUGAACGGCCCAGGGCUGGGCCAGCACCGGGGGGGGCCCCACCAGUGGCUCUGCAGGUCCCAUCACGCGUGUUGUCGUCUAAAACCCGGCCUCGGCUGCACCUUACUGCACGUCAGUCCAGAAACUCAGAGGACAAAACUUUGGUGAAUUGAAGGAAAACAAAAAAAAACAAAAAAAAAAACCCAACAAAAAUUGGUUUAACAGAGAGUAAUCGAGUUCACCAUCGUGCAGACUCACCCCCGGAGCGAGGACGUUCCUGUACAUUCACAAAUGACACGCUGGACCUUUUAGGGAACUCUGCUCCUACAGACCCUGGCUGUGAGUCCCGUCAAGAAACGCGCGUUAGACAGCCAGGGAAAGCUUGCAUAAUGGUCAUGAAACAUGAAAACAAUGUUAAUCGUUUUGUAAGAUGCAUUUUUUUAAGGAUUUAAAAAUAGCACACUUAAAAUACCCUGUGUUCAUCUAAGACUAUUUUACUUUGGCAUUAUU
Molecule: long non-coding RNA, 3194 nt
Organism: Chroicocephalus ridibundus (black-headed gull)
Lineage: Eukaryota; Metazoa; Chordata; Aves; Charadriiformes; Laridae
Exons: 5
Source: RefSeq, a predicted model, not a curated record